This is a small nucleolar RNA of Phragmites australis (common reed), 89 nucleotides long. RefSeq annotates it as small nucleolar RNA Z266. NCBI's taxonomy places the organism in Eukaryota, Viridiplantae, Streptophyta, Magnoliopsida, Poales, Poaceae. The record is from RefSeq and is a predicted model, not a curated record. The transcript has a single exon.
GGUUGGCCGGAAUGAUGAAUCAAUUAGAUGUGCAAAGACACCUUGUCAGCUUAACUUUUGAGGCAUAUUUUCUAUCUGAUCUGCCAUUC